RNAcentral lists this ribosomal RNA (465 nucleotides) under uncultured Acidovorax sp. RNAcentral describes it as "bacterial SSU rRNA". It matches the Rfam family "Bacterial small subunit ribosomal RNA", at positions 917 to 1381 of the family's 1533-position model. Lineage: Bacteria; Pseudomonadati; Pseudomonadota; Betaproteobacteria; Burkholderiales; Comamonadaceae. The record is from RNAcentral.
ACGGGACCGCACAAGCGGUGGAUGAUGUGGUUUAAUUCGAUGCAACGCGAAAACCUUACCACCUUUGACAUGUACGGAAUCCUUUAGAGAUAGAGGAGUGCUCGAAAGAGAGCCGUAACACAGGUGCUGCAUGGCUGUCGUCAGCUUGUGUCGUGAGAUGUUGGGUUAAGUCCCGCAACGAGCGCAACCCUUGUCAUUAGUUGCUACAUUCAGUUGGGCACUCUAAUGAGACUGCCGGUGACAAACCGGAGGAAGGUGGGGAUGACGUCAAGUCCUCAUGGCCCUUAUAGGUGGGGCUACACACGUCAUACAAUGGAUGGUACAAAGGGUCGCCAACCCGCGAGGGGGAGCCAAUCCCAUAAAGCCGCUCUCAGUUCGGAUUGCAGGCUGCAACUCGCCUGCAUGAAGCCGGAAUCGCUAGUAAUCGCGGAUCAGCAUGCCGCGGUGAAUACGUUCCCGGGCCUU